UCUAAUGUGGCAGAAUAAUAUGUCAUGAAUUUAAAAUUCAUUUAUAAAUAUUUAUAUUUCUUUAGAA
This 67-nucleotide transfer RNA is filed under the name Guayaquila pallescens. RNAcentral describes it as "tRNA-Leu". Lineage: Eukaryota; Metazoa; Arthropoda; Insecta; Hemiptera; Membracidae. The record is from RNAcentral.